AACGCGAAGAACCUUACCUACCCUUGACAUGGAUGGAAUCCUGAUGAGAUUUGGGAGUGCUCGAAAGAGAACCAUCACACAGGUGCUGCAUGGCUGUCGUCAGCUCGUGUCGUGAGAUGUUGGGUUAAGUCCCGCAACGAGCGCAACCCUUGUCAUUAGUUGCUACGAAAGGGCACUCUAAUGAGACUGCCGGUGACAAACCGGAGGAAGGUGGGGAUGACGUCAAGUCCUCAUGGCCCUUAUGGGUAGGGCUUCACACGUCAUACAAUGGUACAUACAGAGGGCCGGCAACCCGCGAGGGGGAGCUAAUCCCAUAAAGUGUAUCGUAGUCCGGAUUGGAGUCUGCAACUCGACUGCAUGAAGUGGGAAUCGCAUUCUAUCGCAGAUCAGCAUGUCGCGGUGAAUACGUUCCCGGGUCUUGUACACAC
RNAcentral lists this ribosomal RNA (428 nucleotides) under uncultured bacterium. RNAcentral describes it as "bacterial SSU rRNA". It matches the Rfam family "Bacterial small subunit ribosomal RNA", at positions 958 to 1390 of the family's 1533-position model. The record is from RNAcentral.